ACAGUACACCAGCACCAGAAUCCUCCCGGAUGGUAAUGGUUUCCAAUCAGCUGCUGACAGUGAUUCCAUCUGUAAUUUGAUCUCCAGUUAUGAACAUUCCCAACCCAAGAAAAUUAGCUGGAGAACUAAUGACAAGGAUGAGGGCAUCGAUGGCCAGGCAGCAUUUAUUACCCAUCCCUAAUUGCCCAGAGGGCAGUUAAGAGUCAACCACCUUGCUGUGGGUCUGGAGUCACAUGUGGGCCAGACCAGAGAUAGUGGGAACUGCUGAUGCUGGAGAAUCUGAGAUAACAAGGUAUGGAGCUGGAUGAACA
This is a long non-coding RNA of Stegostoma tigrinum, 311 nucleotides long. RefSeq lists it as uncharacterized. NCBI's taxonomy places the organism in Eukaryota, Metazoa, Chordata, Chondrichthyes, Orectolobiformes, Stegostomatidae. The transcript has 3 exons. The record is from RefSeq and is a predicted model, not a curated record.